ACUGCUCAGUAACACGUGGCUAAUCUGCCCUUAGGACGAGAACAACCCCGGGAAACUGGGGCUAAUUCUCGAUAGGCGAAGAACUCUGGAAUGAGUCUUUACCUAAAUAGUGCAACGUUAUCCUCGUUGCAUCGCCUAAGGAUGAGGCCGCGACCGAUCAGGUUGUUGGCGAGGUAAUGGCUCACCAAGCCUUUUACCGGUGCGGGCCGUGAGAGCGGGAGCCCGGAGAUGGGCACUGAGACAAGGGCCCAGGCCCUACGGGGCGCAGCAGUCGCGAAAACUUUGCAAUAAGCGAAAGCUUGACAGGGCUAUCCCGAGUGCCAUCCGCUGAGGAAGGCUUUUACCCAGUCUAGAACGCUGGGGGAAUAAGGAGAGGGCAAGUCUGGUGUCAGCCGCCGCGGUAAUACCAGCUCUCCGAGUGGUGUGGAUGUUUAUUGGGCCUAAAGCAUCCGUAGCUGGCUAGGUCAGUCCCUUGUUAAAUCCACCGAAUUAAUCGUUGGAUUGCGGGGGAUACUGCUUGGCUAGGGGACGAGAGAGGCAGACGGUAUUUUCGGGGUAGGGGUGAAAUCCUAUAAUCCCGGGAAGACCACCAGUGGCGAAGGCUGUCUGCUAGAACGCGCCCGACGGUGAGGGAUGAAAGCUGGGGGAGCGAACCGGAUUAGAUACCCGGGUAGUCCCAGCUGUAAACGAUGCAGACUAGGUGUUUGGACGGCCACGUGCCGUUCUAGUGCCGCAGGGAAGCUGUUAAGUCUGCCGCCUGGGGAGUACGAUCGCAAGAUUGAAACUUAAAGGAAUUGGCGGGGGAGCAC
Molecule: ribosomal RNA, 809 nt
Filed under: uncultured archaeon
Lineage: Archaea
Description: bacterial SSU rRNA
Rfam family: Archaeal small subunit ribosomal RNA
Source: RNAcentral